This 278-nucleotide ribosomal RNA is filed under the name uncultured bacterium. RNAcentral describes it as "partial 16S ribosomal RNA". It matches the Rfam family "Bacterial small subunit ribosomal RNA", at positions 506 to 784 of the family's 1533-position model. The record is from RNAcentral.
UGCCAGCAGCCGCGGUAAUACGAGUGCCCCAAGCGUUACCCGGAAUCACUGGGUUUAAAGGGUGCGUAGGCGGCGCUAUAAGUCAGAGGUGAAAGGCCACAGCUUAACUGUGGGACUGCUUUGAUACUGUAGUGCUUGAAUUAGGCUGAGGUCGGCGGAAUGUGACAUGUAGCGGUGAAAUGCUUAGAUAUGUCAUAGAACACCAAUUGCGAAGGCAGCUGACUAGACCUUAAUUGACGCUGAGGCACGAAAGCGUGGGGAGCGAACAGGAUUAGAUA